UGGGGAAUUUUGCACAAUGGGGGGAACCUUGAUGCAGCGACGCCGCGUGAGGGAUGGAGGCCUUCGGGUUGUGAACCUCUUUCGCUCGUGUGCAAGCCGCUAUUUGGGUAGUGGUGAGUGUAGCGGGUAAAGAAGCGCCGGCUAACUACGUGCCAGCAGCCGCGGUAAUACGUAGGGCGCGAGCGUUGUCCGGAUUUAUUGGGCGUAAAGGGCUUGUAGGCGGUUUGUCGCGCCUGGCGUGUAAUCCUCUGGCUUACCUGGGGGUGGGCUGUGGGUACGGGCAGGCUUGAGUGCGGUAGGGGAGAUUGAAAUUCCUGGUGUAGCGGUGGAAUGCGCAGAUAUCAGGAGGAACACCGGUGGCGAAGGCGGGUCUCUGGGCCGUUACUGACGCUGAGGAGCGAAAGCGUGGGGAGCGAACAGG
RNAcentral lists this ribosomal RNA (421 nucleotides) under bacterium. Its description in RNAcentral is "partial 16S ribosomal RNA". It matches the Rfam family "Bacterial small subunit ribosomal RNA", at positions 355 to 776 of the family's 1533-position model. The record is from RNAcentral.